Molecule: ribosomal RNA, 497 nt
Filed under: uncultured bacterium
Lineage: Bacteria
Description: partial 16S ribosomal RNA
Rfam family: Bacterial small subunit ribosomal RNA
Source: RNAcentral
GAUGAACGCUGGCGGCGUGCCUAAUACAUGCAAGUCGAGCGAACAGACGAGGAGCUUGCUCCUUUGACGUUAGCGGCGGACGGGUGAGUAACACGUGGGUAACCUACCUAUAAGACUGGGAUAAAUUCGGGAAACCGGAGCUAAUACCGGAUAAUAUUUCGAACCGCAUGGUUCGAUAGUGAAAGAUGGCUCUGCUAUCACUUAUAGAUGGACCUGCGCCGUAUUAGCUAGUUGGUAAGGUAACGGCUUACCAAGGCAACGAUACGUAGCCGACCUGAGAGGGUGAUCGGCCACACUGGAACUGAGACACGGUCCAGACUCCUACGGGAGGCAGCAGUAGGGAAUCUUCCGCAAUGGGCGAAAGCCUGACGGAGCAACGCCGCGUGAGUGAUGAAGGUCUUCGGAUCGUAAAACUCUGUUAUUAGGGAAGAACAAACGUGUAAGUAACUGUGCACGUCUUGACGGUACCUAAUCAGAAAGCCACGGCUAACUACGUG